CAGAGCCGCGGUAAUACGUAGGUGGCAAGCGUUGUCCGGAAUUAUUGGGCGUAAAGGGCUCGCAGGCGGUUUCUUAAGUCUGAUGUGAAAGCCCCCGGCUCAACCGGGGAGGGUCAUUGGAAACUGGGAAACUUGAGUGCAGAAGAGGAGAGUGGAAUUCCACGUGUAGCGGUGAAAUGCGUAGAGAUGUGGAGGAACACCAGUGGCGAAGGCGACUCUCUGGUCUGUAACUGACGCUGAGGAGCGAAAGCGUGGGGAGCGAACAGGAUUAGAUACCCCUGUAGUCCCUGUCUCUUAUACA
RNAcentral lists this ribosomal RNA (301 nucleotides) under uncultured bacterium. Its description in RNAcentral is "partial 16S ribosomal RNA". It matches the Rfam family "Bacterial small subunit ribosomal RNA", at positions 509 to 808 of the family's 1533-position model. The record is from RNAcentral.